GACUUGCGGUGCUCGAAAGUCGUGGAUUUUUCAGAGUAACUUGAGCAACGUUAUGCUGGAAUGGUUCUUGUGAAGAUGCAGUGGCAGUGAUUCUACGAGAGUUUCACAGUGGACAGAUUCUGCAGAUUCUGCAUGGUGAUGAGGAAAGAGAUCCAAGACAAGGAG
Long non-coding RNA from Thalassophryne amazonica, 165 nucleotides. RefSeq lists it as uncharacterized. Lineage: Eukaryota; Metazoa; Chordata; Actinopteri; Batrachoidiformes; Batrachoididae. The record is from RefSeq and is a predicted model, not a curated record. The transcript has 3 exons.